This is a non-coding RNA of Ictidomys tridecemlineatus (thirteen-lined ground squirrel), 502 nucleotides long. NCBI's taxonomy places the organism in Eukaryota, Metazoa, Chordata, Mammalia, Rodentia, Sciuridae. The record is from RefSeq and is a predicted model, not a curated record.
CAUAGCCGCAGUGUCUCAUGGACCUGUGGACAUUUGAAGCCUGUUCCGUGAGAACUCGUGUUCAGCCGUGUAUCUCUUGCACCCCGAAGCUACUUGAAACCCCUUCCCUCUCAUCCAAUCAGAGAGAUAGGAACACACCUCCUCUCUUCUUAUGGUGGACAAAGCUGUUUGCAAAAAUCAGUGCUAUAACAUCGCUUCUAAGCAUUUAGGACAGCGAUCCCUCCUUUGCCUGUUAUCAGUUCUACAGUCAUUUGUUUAACAGGCUUUAGCCCUUAUAGGGAGAAGAAUGACAGCAUUAAAUUGCCUUUGGAAGUUGUGACAGGGCAUGAAAACAUCCAGCUCUCUGCAAGCACAGUCCAGCUGCAUGCAGAUGCAUGUGCGUACACAGGUGGUAUGCCUGUGAACACAAUUCAAAGCUUGUGAAGUCACUUCAUCUUUUUGGAAUUUCAGUUUUAUCAUCUGUCAACAGAGUUUGAGGUUCAAGAAUACAGUUCCCACAAAG